GCCGGGAUGGCUGAGUGGUUAAAGCGACGGCCUCGAGAUCCCGCAAGGGCAUGUUGGCCAUUGACAUGAUAGCCGUUGGGCGUCACGCCCUCGUGGGUUCGAAUCCCACUCCCGGCG
This 117-nucleotide transfer RNA is filed under the name soil metagenome. It matches the Rfam family "tRNA". Rfam says of the family: Transfer RNA (tRNA) molecules are approximately 80 nucleotides in length. Their secondary structure includes four short double-helical elements and three loops (D, anti-codon, and T loops). The record is from RNAcentral.